RNAcentral lists this ribosomal RNA (484 nucleotides) under uncultured bacterium. RNAcentral's name for it is "partial 16S ribosomal RNA". It matches the Rfam family "Bacterial small subunit ribosomal RNA", at positions 28 to 523 of the family's 1533-position model. The record is from RNAcentral.
GACGAACGCUGGCGGCGUGCUUAACACAUGCAAGUCGAACGAUGAAGCCGGAGCUUGCUCUGGUGAAUUAGUGGCGAACGGGUGAGUAACACGUGAGUAACCUGCCCUUGACUCUGGGAUAACUGCUAGAAAUGGUAGCUAAUACCGGAUACGACCCUCGGAGGCAUCUCCAGGGGGUGGAAAGAAUUUAGGUCAAGGAUGGACUCGCGGCCUAUCAGCUAGUUGGUGAGGUAACGGCUCACCAAGGCGACGACGGGCAGCCGGCCUGAGAGGGUGCCCGGCCACACUGGGACUGAGACACGGCCGAGACUCCUACGGGAGGCAGCAGUGGGGAAUAUUGCACAAUGGGCGCAAGCCUGAUGCAGCAACGCCGCGUGAGGGAUGACGGCCUUCGGGUUGUAAACCUCUUUUAGUAGGGAAGAAGCGAAAGUGACGGUACCUGCAGAAAAAGCACCGGCUAACUACGUGCCAGCCGCCGCCGUAA